This 80-nucleotide microRNA precursor is filed under the name Medicago truncatula (barrel medic). Its description in RNAcentral is "MIR5269 microRNA precursor family". It matches the Rfam family "MIR5269 microRNA precursor family". The record is from Rfam by way of RNAcentral. Lineage: Eukaryota; Viridiplantae; Streptophyta; Magnoliopsida; Fabales; Fabaceae.
UUUGAUGAAAUCAAUGUGAGUUCAACAUUUUGAAAAUGGAUCUUACUUAAAGUGGUUGGACCUACGUUGAUUUCAUUUAU